This 117-nucleotide ribosomal RNA is filed under the name Anolis carolinensis (green anole). Lineage: Eukaryota; Metazoa; Chordata; Lepidosauria; Squamata; Anolidae. The record is from RNAcentral.
AAAGAUGGAAAGAUUUCUAAAGGCAUCAGAUCCCAUUUGAUCUCUGAAGCUAAGCAGGGUUAAACUUGGUCAGUACUUGGAUGGGAGACCACCAACAAAUAUUAGAUACGGUAUGCU